UGGGGAAUUUUGGACAAUGGGCGAAAGCCUGAUCCAGCAAUGCCGCGUGUGUGAAGAAGGCCUUCGGGUUGUAAAGCACUUUUGUCCGGAAAGAAAUCCUUGGCUCUAAUACAGUCGGGGGAUGACGGUACCGGAAGAAUAAGCACCGGCUAACUACGUGCCAGCAGCCGCGGUAAUACGUAGGGUGCAAGCGUUAAUCGGAAUUACUGGGCGUAAAGCGUGCGCAGGCGGUUUGCUAAGACCGAUGUGAAAUCCCCGGGCUCAACCUGGGAACUGCAUUGGUGACUGGCAGGCUAGAGUAUGGCAGAGGGGGGUAGAAUUCCACGUGUAGCAGUGAAAUGCGUAGAGAUGUGGAGGAAUACCGAUGGCGAAGGCAGCCCCCUGGGCCAAUACUGACGCUCAUGCACGAAAGCGUGGGGAGCAAACAGGAUUAGAUACCCUGGUAGUCCACGCCCUAAACGAUGUCAACUAGUUGUUGGGGAUUCAUUUCCUUAGUAACGUAGCUAACGCGUGAAGCUGACCGCCUGGGGGAGUACGGUCGCAAGAUUAAAACUCAAAUGAAUUGACGGGGUCAUAGCUGUUUCCU
This 586-nucleotide ribosomal RNA is filed under the name uncultured bacterium. RNAcentral describes it as "partial 16S ribosomal RNA". It matches the Rfam family "Bacterial small subunit ribosomal RNA", at positions 355 to 1375 of the family's 1533-position model. The record is from RNAcentral.